UAAAUAAAUAAAUAAAUAAAUAAUAUUGGACCGAUACAGAGAAGAUUAGCAUGGCUUCUGCACAAGGAUGACUCGGCAAAUUCGUGAAGGGUUCCAUGUUUUU
Molecule: small nuclear RNA, 103 nt
Organism: Onychomys torridus (southern grasshopper mouse)
Lineage: Eukaryota; Metazoa; Chordata; Mammalia; Rodentia; Cricetidae
Source: RefSeq, a predicted model, not a curated record